ACGCACGCUGGCGGCGUGCUUAACACAUGCAAGUCGAACGGAAAGGCCCUGCUUUUGUGGGGUGCUCGAGUGGCGAACGGGUGAGUAACACGUGAGUAACCUGCCCUUGACUUUGGGAUAACUUCAGGAAACUGGGGCUAAUACCGGAUAGGAGCUCCUGCUGCAUGGUGGGGGUUGGAAAGUUUCGGCGGUUGGGGAUGGACUCGCGGCUUAUCAGCUUGUUGGUGGGGUAGUGGCUUACCAAGGCUUUGACGGGUAGCCGGCCUGAGAGGGUGACCGGCCACAUUGGGACUGAGAUACGGCCCAGACUCCUACGGGAGGCAGCAGUGGGGAAUAUUGCACAAUGGGCGGAAGCCUGAUGCAGCAACGCCGCGUGCGGGAUGACGGCCUUCGGGUUGUAAACCGCUUUCGCCUGUGACGAAGCGUGAGUGACGGUAAUGGGUAAAGAAGCACCGGCUAACUACG
RNAcentral lists this ribosomal RNA (465 nucleotides) under uncultured bacterium. Its description in RNAcentral is "partial 16S ribosomal RNA". It matches the Rfam family "Bacterial small subunit ribosomal RNA", at positions 29 to 505 of the family's 1533-position model. The record is from RNAcentral.